Cyprinus carpio carpio is the source of this 4499-nucleotide long non-coding RNA. The record is from Ensembl. NCBI's taxonomy places the organism in Eukaryota, Metazoa, Chordata, Actinopteri, Cypriniformes, Cyprinidae.
UGGAAGCUGGCACAGGAGCUCUUCUACACUCCCUUCAAGCAGCUCAGGAGGUGCCGUGUAUUCACUGAAGUCCUCAGCGAGUAAGGAGACCUCACCAUUGGCUUCGGACAAGCCAAUCACCACGAUGUCCUCCACCACUGGUGCCUGCUCCAAAACCUUGCAAAUUGCAAAAAAAGGUAAAAAAAAAAAAAAAAAACUGAUUUAGUGAUAAUUUAUCUCUAAUGAUUUUGCUUUUUUUUAUUAGAAUACUUAUGUUUACACACAAUCUAUGAAGGGCAGUGCUAUAUUGUGAAUAUUGUCAUGGCUGAAGGUUAUUGUUAGGCACAAUGCAGCCUUGGGUGUGUUAUUGAUUUCAUGAAAUAGUUACCACAUGAUAAUUUAGGAGUAACAGAAUGUUUAUAUGCAACAAAACAAAUCAAACAUGACUGAAAAAUCUUGCCAAAGUCUUCCAUAUUUUUUUAAACGUACAGACAGGCAUGUUUGAUUAUGCUUCAGGUGCCCUGCUCUAAUGUGUAUGUUACAUACCUCCACAGUUGUGAAUUUAACUUGGUGGCCUUGGCGCUUGCUCGAAGGUGACAUAUGUUCACCUUAUCAUUAAUUCUGAGCUUGGACAAGGCCUGGUCCCGCCAUAAGGACACCUCAAGGAUCCUGGAGCCGCUUUUGAUCCCCACGUCCAAGAUGGGGACUUCUGUGUCCCUCACAGUCGUCAUCCUUGGAACCUGCAUCUAUAAAGUUAUGUUCCUUCCUGAGUUAAGUGGCCCCCUCUUGAGAAGAGGUCCUGCUCAUCCCCAGUCACUGAGACAGAUGGUGGAACCAGGGCGUCUUUGGCCAUCUUCUCUGCAUCAAAGCACACACUUGACCCUGAUGGGACUGGGGCAGCUAUACGGAGAGGAUGCCAUUCUGAUGAGGAAAACAUGAAAAAGGUUAGACUUUUUUUUCUUCUUUUUUUUUUUUUUAACUGAAGAAGAUUAGGAUUAUAGUGAAUAAGAAAAAUAAAUAUAUGUAUGAUUAAAGGGAGAGUUUUAAGCUGCAGUCUGCAAGUUUCGCCUCUUUGUCGCCAUCUCUGUUUGAAAACCUGCAACUGCAGCUUUUUACAGAAUUAUCUUCCUUGCUAGGGUUGUGUGCGGAUGAAUCUAAUGGCAGUCAGUCACUGCACCGGUGUGGAGAUUUACUGUACUUCGCAAUCACAGAUUCUACCAAUUUCAUAUCAAGAAAUAAACUUUUAACCCAAAAAGCUAAUUAUACUCCCUUCAAAAUGGUUAUCUUUAAUGGUUAUCCCAGGCUAUCUGUAAUCAGAAGCACAUUUAAAACUGGAAUAUAAUUUAAUUUCAGUCACAUGUGUUUCAUAAGCACACAAUACUUUCUGGAUUACUAUCCGCCAUCAAAAUGAUAAAUUUAAUUAUUCCAGCUGGUGUGAGAAAAGGCUUUAAAGAUCCGCCACCUGCAGGUUCCUCACGUGUGAUAGCCUAGUAGCCCAGACAACUUUAUGUUUACAGACGUGACGUAAUGACGCAGCGGCAUGCUCAAAUUUCCCACAAAAACCUACCUGUACCACUCAAAUCACAAAACAUUAUUAUAAACUAAAUGGGCUAAAGUAAGGCGAUAGUUUUAAAUCAGUGGUUCUCAACCUUUUUUUCCAACGGGCCGCACUAUGGUCCAAGUGCAAGUCUCACGGGCCGCACGCAUAUCAUUUACAUAUUACGUCACCAUACAAACCAACCUGAUUUAUAAUAUUAUAGCCUAAAUAUUAUGAUAUUUAAUCGAUUACAUUCAUUGAAAUAAAUUAAUAAUUCUACUCCCCAUAAAUAAAACACCUGAUGCUGUCGGGAGCUGACCAGUUUUGUGAAAUUCGGCUCGAAAGGAGUAACAGCAGAAUGAAGUUGCGAUUGUAAGUUGCAGUCUGUAAGACGCGCACGGGAGCAUAACUUGACGCGCGACAUUGCAGAAAAUGUGCGUUCACAAAUGUAGCCUAUGUUGAUCCAAAUAUGGAAAGCACUUUCGAAUUUAAUAAUAUGAGGUUCUCUCCAGAGAUGUUUUGCCACAUUUCUGCAAUUAAGGAUGAUUGCUGCGUAGUAUGGGUGUUUCUAUUUGCCUGAACUUCUUCAAGUGAGUUACGGCGCAAACCGAAAAUCCAGCACUCUCCUUCACUACUGAUACUGUGACUAUUCUUGUUUGUAUGUGUUCAUUUGCUGGCAUUUCCACAUUUCUUUUUACUCCCUUAAAAACAAAUUUGUCAAUUCUGAUGCUCAAUUUUACCGAACUAAUGGCUGUUGAUGACUAUUUGAAUUGAAUUCUGCCAAAGUGCGCGCUUGUAUGUGUUCAUAAAAUGCGGAACGUAGGUCUGCUCAUGUCUGAAAAUAAUAUAUGAAAAACAAAGGAAUUUUACAUAUAAACUAGGGCUGUCAAAUGAUUAAUCACGAUUAAUCACAUCCAAAAUAAAAGUUUUGUUUACAUAAUAUAUGUGUGUAUACUGUGUAUAUUUAUUAUGUAUAUAUAAAUACACACACAUGCAUGUAUAUAUUUAAGAAGAAUAUGUUAUGUUUAUAUAUUAAAUAUAUUUAUAUAUAAUAUAAAAUAUAAGAAUAUAAAUAUAUAAAUGUAUACACAUGUAAAUAUUUUCUAAAUAUAUAAUUUAUGUGUGUGUAUUUAUAUAUACAUAAUAAAUAUACCCUGUACACAUACAUAUAUUAUGUAAACAAAACUUUUAUUUUGGAUGUGAUUAAUCGUGAUUAAUCAUUUGACAGCCCUAAUAUAAACAUUAGGCUAUAGCUUACAGAUGGUAGACAACCAAAAUGGGUAAUAGGGCCGCGGCGUUAACUGCAAGUCAGUCGUGUGUUAAAUUCAUUCGCGAAACUACCGCCAGGUGGCGCAAAGGGACGGAUUGCCAACUGAAUGUAAUUGUAAAAUGAGAUAAAAGGAGGAGGUAAAACAACAAUAACAUUAUGAUAUAACAUUGUACCAUCUUUAAAAACCAUUAAAAAAUGUACAGUGAGUUAAUUUCAAAAUGUAGGAUAGUCUUAGGCUACAGUCUACUCAUCAAAAAUUAAAAGAAGACCUUUACACAAAGGAUCUUAUGCUUGCUAUUGUUAUUAAACAGUCAUUAAAUAUAAGGCCUAUAUAUACGGAUAAAAAGCUAAAUGUUUUCAUUUCGGUUCAUUCUUGGUUUAAAAAAAAAAUCCUUCAGGUUCCAUUUGCAGAUCGAAAUGAGAACGGUCCAGCAUUUAGCAAUAAUUAUUAUUAAUUCUGUUAUUAUUCUUGAUUUUUCAAAAUGCUAACACUGUGCAUUUUUGAAUUAUGCCUUUACUGUGUGACCAAAAAUUUUGUAUUUUCUGUUUCAGCUGUUUGAUCGCGCUGGUGCCUCACGCACAUUCAUUGGAAACAGUAGCCGUUCACCGAGCCCAUGCGGCGCGAGCAGCGGUCCACUUUGGCAUAUUUUUGUUAAUUAUGAUUUUUUUUUUUUUUUCGUCGAUACUGAAACAUGCGUGAACUACAAAGCCUAUUUUACCUCAUGAAUAAUAGUUAAGCUUGAAAUAGGCAACAUCACGAAUAUGGAAACGUUUGGAUUUCUCCCGAAUGAGAGCCCAACCUUACCUUAUGGUUCGCUUUAAAUUAUUAUUCAUUUAUUUUUGUUUGUUUGUUUAUAGCUAAGCCUAUAUUAUUAUAUACUGCAAUUUUAUUUAUCCAUUAGAAUUAUAUGUUUGUAAUUCUUGUUCUGUUCUGAUAAAUGUGUUAAAUUUAAAGGAUUUGUUGUAAAGUGAAGGGAACUAAAAAUAUCCUGUUGGCACAUUAUAAUAUUAUUAGGCCAGCCGUUAUUAUUUCUGAAUGUAAUAAAAUGCAACUUAUACAUGACUUAUAUUUUUUCCUCUCACAAACUUAAUUUAUUUUUUAGCCUGUUUUAAAAAAUAAAUAAAUAAAAUAAAAUAACAUGCAGCAAACGAAAAUAGGUGAUUAAUCGGUUAAAAUUUGUUACUGUGGGGUAAUUAUAAUUAUUAUAUACUUAGGAACAGAGUCUGGGCCUAAUCUAGGCUAUCCAGGGUUUUUUAUUUUAUUUUUUUUUUUCAUUGCAUCUGAAAAUGACUUUGUGCAGCACAUUCACUUCGCACGCUCAACCUGCCUCGCGCGUUGCUCAGCUGUGGACGAUUUAAAAAUGUUUGAUAUAAAGGUUGCCGUCCCAUUUUAUACAGGAAUUGUUCAUUUAAAAAAAAGAAUCGAAUUAUAUUGUUAGUCUAAAUUAUAUUGUUAACACAAGUUCAUUUAGGCUAUUUAACAUGCACUGUGACAUUUUACCCUUUUUAACUUAUAAACUCCUUAAGAUUUUAAAGUCAGUUUAAUAGUAUUGAAGUUCAAGUUUUUAAAAAAAGGUUUUAAAUGCUUAAAUUAUUUCUAUGAAUUAAUAAUAUGUUAUCAUGUUUAUUCUUGUAGAAAAUAAGUGUUUAUUCUUUAAGAAAAUAAGGGAAAAAAUAAGGGAAUUAUUCAUAUUUGUUUUGCUUCACCUAUUU